Molecule: long non-coding RNA, 993 nt
Filed under: Homo sapiens (human)
Lineage: Eukaryota; Metazoa; Chordata; Mammalia; Primates; Hominidae
Description: HSALNT0053211
Source: RNAcentral
AAAAUAUAGUGCCUCAUGACCAGGUGGAUGCAACCCUUAUUCCUAUUACAAAUUUCAGCUGUGGGAUAUUUGCUGGUAUUCUGGCCUCACUGGUAACUCAACCUGCGGAUGUUAUCAAAACUCAUAUGCAGCUUUAUCCACUGAAGUUUCAAUGGAUUGGCCAAGCAGUGACACUUAUUUUCAAAUUCUGACAUUUAUUUUCACCAUAGGACUAUGGACUACGUGGCUUCUUCCAAGGUGGCAUCCCCCGAGCCCUCCGCAGAACUCUAAUGGCAGCAAUGGCGUGGACGGUGUAUGAAGAGAUGAUGGCCAAGAUGGGCCUGAAGUCCUGACCAAGAGAGGACUGGGAACGGGUGAAAUCUGUUGCCCUGCUUGGUUUCUGCCAAGGGCUGCUGCUUCUUACUAUUCUGCAGUAAGAUGAAGUCCUACCUGGAAAACCAGGCAGAAAUUGUGUUGCCUUUGCCUUCAGUAAUCCCCUUAAGGAGAAAAUAUAUGGACCUGAUUUCAGCCUUCAGAAUCUCCAAAAGAGGAGUCAUCAAUUCAUAGAGCACACUAGGGUGUUAGGAGAGAGCUUUGCAUACUCUGAGAGGCUACUUGGAAAGGCAUUUUCCCAGGAGAGCUCUGUCAGGUGGCUGCGCUUCAGCCCCACCCCUACACCACAGGGUCUCCUUGGGUAUGUUCUUGGGCAAGCAAUCACAAAGCCAGAGAAGCUGUAAGCUGCCUGCCGGGCCUGAGGAGCUCCAACCAGGGAAGACUGGAUGUGAGGAGAGGAGUCACUGUCACCAGGUCACAGACUGACUGAGGUGAUGGUAGGAUGAGGAGGAACAGAUGCCCUUCUUUAAUUGGUUCUCAGUUAACUUCUCAGAGGCUCUGGAGAACGGGACAGUGGCUUUCUAGCCUCUGAAUGUUCCAAAUAAAAUUUUUUGGUCUUGGCCCCUGUACUGUUUUACCUCUAAAUUCUGGCAUUUUUUUUUCCCUGCAAUUAAAGUGCUG